UCCAGAAAAGGACACCUUACUACUGUGGCUCACCCACCCAUUCUUAUAAAAUUAUUUUGGGAAGUUCUUAAAGCCCACCCUCAAGGCCUCAAGCUGCAGUGCCACCCUCUCUCCUCUUGGGAAAGGCCCAGAGAUAAAAAGGGUGACAAAAGAAAUGCUGGAGAUACGGGAGUCCAAAGGAGCUGAAUUAACGGGCUUUGCGGGGAGAGGCGGGUGAAGCCAAGUGCAAUGAUGGUGAAGGCCAGAGAACAAAUUACCCCCAAGGCGUGUGUGGACGGCCAGGGCCUGAAGGAAGUUUGGUCCCCAGUCGACCCGGGCCCUCCUCCCUCCUCCUGUCGCUCCCCGAGAUCUGGGCUCUCCCCCGAAACUGUGAAGUCACAUCUUGC
Canis lupus familiaris (dog) is the source of this 386-nucleotide long non-coding RNA. RefSeq lists it as uncharacterized. The record is from RefSeq and is a predicted model, not a curated record. The transcript has 2 exons. Lineage: Eukaryota; Metazoa; Chordata; Mammalia; Carnivora; Canidae.